UCGAACGAGCGAGAGAGAGCUUGCUUUCUCGAGCGAGUGGCGAACGGGUGAGUAACGCGUGAGGAACCUGCCUCAAAGAGGGGGACAACAGUUGGAAACGACUGCUAAUACCGCAUAAGCCCACGACCCGGCAUCGGGUUGAGGGAAAAGGAGCAAUCCGCUUUGAGAUGGCCUCGCGUCCGAUUAGCUAGUUGGUGAGGUAACGGCCCACCAAGGCGACGAUCGGUAGCCGGACUGAGAGGUUGAACGGCCACAUUGGGACUGAGACACGGCCCAGACUCCUACGGGAGGCAGCAGUGGGGAAUAUUGCACAAUGGGGGAAACCCUGAUGCAGCGACGCCGCGUGGAGGAAGAAGGUCUUCGGAUUGUAAACUCCUGUUGUUGAGGAAGAUAAUGACGGUACUCAACAAGGAAGUGACGGCUAACUACGUGCCAGCAGCCGCGGUAAAACGUAGGUCACAAGCGUUGUCCGGAAUUACUGGGUGUAAAGGGAGCGCAGGCGGGAAGGCAAGUUGGAAGUGAAAUCCAUGGGCUCAACCCAUGAACUGCUUUCAAAACUGUUUUUCUUGAGUAGUGCAGAGGUAGGCGGAAUUCCCGGUGUAGCGGUGGAAUGCGUAGAUAUCGGGAGGAACACCAGUGGCGAAGGCGGCCUACUGGGCACCAACUGACGCUGAGGCUC
RNAcentral lists this ribosomal RNA (679 nucleotides) under uncultured Lachnospiraceae bacterium. Its description in RNAcentral is "bacterial SSU rRNA". It matches the Rfam family "Bacterial small subunit ribosomal RNA", at positions 62 to 754 of the family's 1533-position model. The record is from RNAcentral. Lineage: Bacteria; Bacillati; Bacillota; Clostridia; Lachnospirales; Lachnospiraceae.